UACAGAGGGUGCAAGCGUUAUUCGGAAUUAUUGGGCGUAAAGAGCGCGUAGGCGGUUCGAUAAGUCUGGUGUGAAAUCCCUGGGCUCAACUCAGGAAGUGCAUUGGAUACUGUCGGACUAGAGUACAGGAGGGGAGAGUGGAAUUCCUGGUGUAGAGGUGAAAUUCGUAGAUAUCAGGAGGAACAACAGAGGCGAAGGCGACUCUCUGGACUGUCACUGACGCUGAGGCGCGAAAGCGUGGGGAGCAAACAGG
RNAcentral lists this ribosomal RNA (253 nucleotides) under uncultured bacterium. RNAcentral's name for it is "partial 16S ribosomal RNA". It matches the Rfam family "Bacterial small subunit ribosomal RNA", at positions 524 to 776 of the family's 1533-position model. The record is from RNAcentral.